GGAGUGGUGAGAGUGGGCACCCUUGAUCAUUCCUGAUCUUAGAGGAAAAGCUUUCAACCUUUCACCAUUGAGGAUGAUGUCAGGCGUGGGCUUUGCUCCUUUGUGCCCCUCUUGUUCUGCCUUCUCUGGUUUUAAUUAAGCUUUUCAUAUGGUUCCCUUAUUCCCUCUCUUAGCAUAUUGCUUAUACUUCUUUUUCUCGUUCUUUUACUUGUUCUUAGUGGUUUCCCUAGAGUUUACAAUAUACGCUUUUACUAAUCAAGUCUACCUGCAAAUAACACUGUAUGGCUUCUUGUGUAGUGUGGGCACCUUGUAACAGAGUAUGCCCAAUUCCUCCCUCCCGUUGCUUGGGACGCUUCUGUCCAUCAUUUCACUUAUCCAUAUGCUAUAAUCACCCAAUAUGUUGUUACUAUUAUCUUUUUAGAAAACAGUUAUGUUUUAGAUGAUACAAGAAUAAGACAUGGAAGAUGCUAUUUACGUCCAUUUAAUACUUCACUGACCCCCUUCCUUUCUUUAGGUAGACCCAAGUUUCUGGCCUAUAUGAUUUUCCUUCUGCCUGAAGAACGUCUCUUAGCAUUUCUUGGAAGGCAGGUUUCCUGGCGAUUAAUUUGCUCAACUUUUAUUUGUCUGAGAAACUAUUUAUUCCUUUUUCACUUUUGAAUGAUAAUUAUCUGGCAGUAGAAUUCCAGAUUAUGACUACAGAGGAUUCUGAUUCAGGGAGGCAGAUCUCGGUUUUGACACUCUGGAUUCCACUCUUGCGCCAGAGUUUACGUGGUGGUUUGCCCUGCCAGCUCAGUUCUGUGAGGAGUCUAAAAUAUAGGUGGAUUCAGUUUUUCCAGCGUUUUCUUGUUUUAAGGAUGGGAUUGGUGAUCUCUGCCCUCUCUAUAUGUUGGGGCUGAAACCAGAAGCUUUAUUUGUGACCAUUUUUGAAAUAUGCCACAAUCAGUAUAAGCCUAUGAGUUUCAAAUAUCAUGAUUUUCUUUAAUUGAAGUACAGCACAGAAAGUGAAGAGUGCACAAACCAUAAGAGACAACAACUUGAUGACUUUUCACAAAGUGAACACAUACCUGUAACCACCACCAAGACCAAGAUCUGGAACAUUACUGGAGCCUCAGAAACCCACGUUAUGCCCCUGUCUAGGUGUUUCACGUGAAGGCUAACCACUAUUCUGACCUACGUCAGCAUAAGGGUUUCUUGUUUUUGUUUUUGUUGUUUUGCCUCUUCUUAAACUUUAUAUAAAUAGAAUUAUCAGUCACGUAUGUUUUUAUGCCUGGCUUCUUUUGCUCAGUGUUCUGCUAUUGAUAUCUGCCCAUGUUGUUGCACGUAGGGGUAUUUUCUUGUUUCAUGUCUGUAUCGUGUUCUAUGAUAUGAAUAUAUCACACUGUAUUCAUUCAUUCAACUGUUGAUAGAUGUUCAUAUUGCUUGCAGUUGGUGACUACCAUCAAUAAUGAUGCUGUGAACGUUUUUAUUUGUGUGUCUGGAGAACAUGUUUGUAUUGGUGUUGCGUAUAUAGUUGGAUUGUGU
Molecule: long non-coding RNA, 1521 nt
Filed under: Equus caballus (horse)
Lineage: Eukaryota; Metazoa; Chordata; Mammalia; Perissodactyla; Equidae
Description: lncRNA (ENSECAG00000059133.1)
Source: RNAcentral